This 124-nucleotide small RNA is filed under the name Marmota monax (woodchuck). Lineage: Eukaryota; Metazoa; Chordata; Mammalia; Rodentia; Sciuridae. The record is from RNAcentral.
GCCAGGCGUGGUGGCGCAUGCCUGUAAUCCCAGCAGCUCAAGAGGCUGAGGCAGGAGGAUAGGAUGGUCAAAUCCAGCCUAGCAAAAGUGAGUCACUAAGCAACUCAGUAAGACCUUGUCUUUA